AACUUUUCUGAAAACCAUAGAAGCUGCAGCUAGAGCUGCUGCUGUUUCAGCUGCAACAUCAGAACCGGGGUUAGAAGGGGAUACAGAGUAAACUGUACGAGGUGUGUCCAUGUCCUCAGGCCGUUCCCAGCAUUUGUGAUCAACAUUAGGAUCUCCUACCCCAACGUAAAGCUUUCCCGGAGUGGCUCUAGCACAUUUCAGCAGAUAAUCCGUGGCCCAACGGAUGUUCACACGUGCAUUUUGCAGCUCAGGACCCAUCCGCUUACCGUACUCAAGUGCGCUCCAUGAGAGCAUCGUGGUGGUAAACGCCAUUGGGAAGUUGAACUUAACGUUGUCUCCUGCGUCAUAGUACCCGCCGGCUAAAUUGUUUAGGGUGUAUACAUGAGCGGAGGAGCCAUCAGAAAGGCCAGAGCUAGCCCUCCAUGAGAGUUGUUGGCCUCUAGGAAGGCGACCAGAUCGCUGACCUUGGAAGAAGAGCAAUGACUUGGAGAGAGCUUCUCUGUAGUUUGGGUUGGCAUCAACAUUGCCUUUGAGAAGAGACGAGAAAAGGAAAACAAAGAAGAAAGGAGAAGCCAUUUUCCAAAGACAGAAGUAAAUUGCUUUUGAGGGUUUUGAGGUACGAAUCUAUUACGUGCAGGUCCACAUAUAUAUAGAGAAAGGGAAAGAUCCAGAGUUAAGAGAGAUAGGAGAGAGAAUGAUCCGGCGCUGAUGGAAGCGAUAAAUAUGGCUUUUUGGGUAAUCAACGUGCUCCUAAACAAAGUAACCUUAAUUUCUCCAAUCCAAAUCCUCUUCUUUUUUUUAAUAUUUUAUGACUAAUCCUUACCUUAGUUUAGCCUAACCAAAUCCUCCUUUUCUCUUUUCGGUCUAUUGUUAUAACUUUACAGCGGUUGGGGUGGACAAAUCCAUCUGCGGAUUAGACCGCUUUUUAUUUACCAUUCAUUAUGCGUAGUCCACAGUGGUGCGGUCUACAGAAAACAGAAACAAAACCGCAGCAGUCCAAUUGCGGACCGUUUUUCCUUAUAAAUAGAGUUGGAUCACAGCGGUCCAUUAUCCACACUUAAAACAGAACGGUCUAGUUCGCAAACAGAUUUGUCCGCCGCCCUGACCGUAGUUACCAUUCAGACUUUUAGUCUUCUUUAUCUAUUCAAAUUCCUCUUUAUGUUUCUUUGUAAAUCUUUUAUCUUAAAGUGUUGAAAAAUGGAAUAAACUAGGAUUUUUGGCCUUA
Molecule: non-coding RNA, 1225 nt
Organism: Camelina sativa (false flax)
Lineage: Eukaryota; Viridiplantae; Streptophyta; Magnoliopsida; Brassicales; Brassicaceae
Source: RefSeq, a predicted model, not a curated record